Long non-coding RNA from Neopsephotus bourkii (Bourke's parrot), 427 nucleotides. RefSeq lists it as uncharacterized. NCBI's taxonomy places the organism in Eukaryota, Metazoa, Chordata, Aves, Psittaciformes, Psittacidae. The transcript has 3 exons. The record is from RefSeq and is a predicted model, not a curated record.
GGACAACAGUCAGAGCCUGUGCUUGUUCAUUACAGCCUGAAGUGAUUGAUACCCCUCGCACACGGUCAGCGCGGCUGGCCCAGCCGGGCCCAGCACGCUGAAUGGUGAAAUCAUCACCCAAUGCUUCCCCCAAAUAUGUGAGACUAAAUAAUAAAUUCAGCAUAAGAACACUGGCUCCUAAGGGUGAUUCUUUCAAGUAUUCAAAUACUGCGUAUCCAGCUAGGAAGCAGAGCCAGCUGACGCCAUCAGUUGUUAUCCUGCUGCACAGAAGUUCUUCUGUGAUCAGCCUAGCUCAUACCUUUGAAACAGGCAGGGAGAGUAAGGUUGCCAUCCACACAUGGGACUGGUACAGUAUAGGCACAGGAUUUUUCUUUAUUCUUGCAGAAGAAGGAUACAGUUUCACCAUGCUGAAUACCAUCCUUAAGGU